This 75-nucleotide transfer RNA is filed under the name Candidatus Colwellbacteria bacterium RIFCSPHIGHO2_02_FULL_45_17. RNAcentral's name for it is "tRNA-Val". It matches the Rfam family "tRNA". Rfam says of the family: Transfer RNA (tRNA) molecules are approximately 80 nucleotides in length. Their secondary structure includes four short double-helical elements and three loops (D, anti-codon, and T loops). Further hydrogen bonds mediate the characteristic L-shaped molecular structure. tRNAs have two regions of fundamental functional importance: the anti-codon, which is responsible for specific mRNA codon recognition, and the 3' end, to which the tRNAs corresponding amino acid is attached (by aminoacyl-tRNA synthetases). tRNAs cope with the degeneracy of the genetic code in two manners: having more than one tRNA (with a specific anti-codon) for a particular amino acid; and 'wobble' base-pairing, i.e. permitting non-standard base-pairing at the 3rd anti-codon position. Lineage: Bacteria; Candidatus Colwelliibacteriota. The record is from RNAcentral. RNAcentral also lists the same sequence under 1 other name.
GGGCGAUUAGCUCAGCGGUAGAGCGUUCGGUCCACAUCCGAAAGGUCGGAGGUUCGACACCUCCAUCGCCCACAA